GAUGAACGCUGGCGGCGUGCCUAAUACAUGCAAGUCGAGCGAACAGAUGAGGAGCUUGCUCCUCUGACGUUAGCGGCGGACGGGUGAGUAACACGUGGAUAACCUACCUAUAAGACUGGGAUAACUUCGGGAAACCGGAGCUAAUACCGGAUAAUAUAUUGAACCGCAUGGUUCAAUAGUGAAAGACGGUUUUGCUGUCACUUAUAGAUGGAUCCGCGCCGCAUUAGCUAGUUGGUAAGGUAACGGCUUACCAAGGCAACGAUGCGUAGCCGACCUGAGAGGGUGAUCGGCCACACUGGAACUGAGACACGGUCCAGACUCCUACGGGAGGCAGCAGUGGGGAAUCUUCCGCAAUGGGCGAAAGCCUGACGGAGCAACGCCGCGUGAGUGAUGAUGGUCUUCGGAUCGUAAAACUCUGUUAUUAGGGAAGAACAAAUGUGUAAGUAACUAUGCACGUCUUGACGGUACCUAAUCAGAAAGCCACGGCUAACUACGUG
RNAcentral lists this ribosomal RNA (497 nucleotides) under uncultured bacterium. Its description in RNAcentral is "partial 16S ribosomal RNA". It matches the Rfam family "Bacterial small subunit ribosomal RNA", at positions 28 to 507 of the family's 1533-position model. The record is from RNAcentral.